GCGUGCUCUUGCCCGUGUCUGAGCUCAUUUGAGGGGCGGAUCUCUGCUCACUGCUCACUGCUAUGGGAAAGCAGCUUUGCAAGAGGCGGACUCUUGCCUCCCUCCAUCUGUGAAGCCUUCUUCAUGCCUUUCAAACAUGGUCCCAGUUGAUAAAACCCAAGUGCACAGUUUCCAGGGGUGCAGCUACUGGGUGAAGUGAAGCGGAACCAUGAAGAGCUGAAAUAAAGGUGCCAGGCACUUUCCCUGUUAUCUCCUGAUCAGUGAGGAAACUGGAGUUCACAGCAAUGGACUGGAUCACAGGCCCCGAAAGAAUUGGUGUUCUAACUCAAG
Arvicola amphibius (Eurasian water vole) is the source of this 330-nucleotide long non-coding RNA. RefSeq lists it as uncharacterized. The record is from RefSeq and is a predicted model, not a curated record. Lineage: Eukaryota; Metazoa; Chordata; Mammalia; Rodentia; Cricetidae. The transcript is spliced from 3 exons.